RNAcentral lists this unclassified non-coding RNA (373 nucleotides) under soil metagenome. RNAcentral's name for it is "partial contains 5.8S ribosomal RNA, internal transcribed spacer 2, and large subunit ribosomal RNA". The stretch from base 1 to 121 matches the Rfam family "5.8S ribosomal RNA", at positions 35 to 154 of the family's 154-position model. The record is from RNAcentral.
GAUGAAGAACGUAGCGAAAUGCGAUAAGUAAUGCGAAUUGCAGAAUUCCAGUGAGUCAUCGAAUCUUUGAACGCACAUUGCGCCCUUUGGUAUUCCGAAGGGCAUGCCUGUUCGAGCGCCAUUAUCACCCCUCAAGCCCUCGGCUUGGUGUUGGACGGUUUGGUGGAGGCCCCCUCGGGGGCUCCUGCCCCUCCCAAAGACAAUGACGGCGGCCUCGUUGGACCCCCGGUACACUGAGUUCUUCACGGGACACGUAUCGGACACAUGGGUUUACGGGACACGGUCUGCCUCCCCUCAGGGAGAAUCUUUCUAAGGUUGACCUCGGAUCAGGUAGGGAUACCCGCUGAACUUAAGCAUAUCAAUAAGCGGAGGA